RNAcentral lists this transfer RNA (69 nucleotides) under Campylobacter lanienae. It matches the Rfam family "tRNA". From Rfam's summary of the family: Transfer RNA (tRNA) molecules are approximately 80 nucleotides in length. Their secondary structure includes four short double-helical elements and three loops (D, anti-codon, and T loops). RNAcentral also lists the same sequence under 1 other name. The record is from RNAcentral. Lineage: Bacteria; Pseudomonadati; Campylobacterota; Epsilonproteobacteria; Campylobacterales; Campylobacteraceae.
GGGAUUAGCUCAGUUGGCUAGAGCAUCAGCCUUCCAAGCUGAGGGUCGCGGGUUCGAGUCCCGUUUCCC